GUAACGUAGCGGCGCCCCGGUCACGUGACAUGCGUCAGGUCAGAGGUCAGAAAUGGCUGGAAACGAAAAAAGAAACAUCAAGGAAGACUGAAGCGACUGUGGAGAGAGAGAGAAGGCCAGCGGCUGGUUGCCAUGACUACAGCUUUAAGCGUUACCAAACAACUGGAUCCAGCUGCUAGCUUAAGUAGCAGCGGCGCUAACCGCUUUAACUGCUUUAAAUGAAGGAGUGAGGUCCUCCAAACACAUGAUGUUUCCUCUUGGAUCACGAAGCCUUCAUGUCUUUCACGGAGGGACGCCUGAAGGACGUCCCCGAGCGGAGACACAAGCUGUCGACUCGGCCUCCUGCGUGAACAAGUGGAUCUCCAGCAUGAGGGAGAUGGAGUUCUACCUGCAGCUUGAGUUUGUGUCCCAGCAGCUGCAGUUGUCCCAUCGCCCCGAGAGGAAGACCGCCGACGUCCAGCUGCACGUCGACACUUUGCAACGAGAGCACAAGAGAUUCGUGGCCAAACUACGAGCUGUGGACCCCCGGCUGCAGACGCGAGGCGCGGACCCCUCGAGCGUCCUGCAGGAGGAGGGACGGGGGGCGGGGAGCUUGGAGCUCUCAUCCCCUUAUUGGAUGUAGUCGUGAUGCUCAGUGGUAGAAACCGUAUGUUCCUACAGUCCAGGAGCCAAACACAACAAGCCCUGUUGAUGAAACUCUUUCUGCCUUUGCAGCACAGAGAAGAAAUCACUUCCUGCCAGACGACUGUGGUCCUCAAGUCUUCUCCACCCGCUGGUUUAUUCCUGUUUGUGCAUUAAAUACACAGCGUGUCUUUUUGUCUCGUGUUAUCUCUGAAUGCUACAUAUGAACCGUUGUCCCCGCUGUGCUUCACAGCCGCCCCCCCCAGCUGAAGCGCCUCCACAUGACGGUGUCUCGGCCGGAUGUGGGGCAGGAAGCCUCAAACCUUCAGCCCCAGAGAACCAAGUCCUCGGAGGCGGUCUGUGCGGACCAGGACCAGCCGCGGCUCUUUGGCCGCACCAAGCGGGCCUUCAGAGGGCGCGGCGGCGCUGAGACGCAGAGCCUGGCCUCGGGGCUGCGGCGCCACCUCCCAAACCUCAGCGACGCUCCGGGGAGGAAGACCUCUCCCCCGCAGGGCGGAGACGCAGCGCCGGGACCCACCACCCGAGGCCCAGAGGCCGCCUGCGGAGCGGCAGAAAGGAACCCUGGGAAGUGGUCUCGCGUCUCGGGACUGACAGCUGAUUUCAUUCAUGCUCUGUACUCAUCUGAACGAUGUCACAUGAACUGUUGUUCUCAAUAUCUAAUCUCUCUGUGGUUAAACACUGGAUUACUGAAUAUCAAAGCCCCCCAUCAGAAGACCUGCGUAAAGGAAGGAGGCUCUGAGGAGACUCGCGGAUUCAGUCCUCUAACUCCUUCUCCUCCUUCAACCUGGUUAGACCCCACAACCCCACCCAUGCUAACGGGGGUCGAGCUUCAGGCGGGUUUCCCUUCGUCUCUGCAGAGGAAGUGAACCGUCUUUGCAGAAGCGGCUUGGUGACGAUUGACAGGAGAAGGGAGGGACAUCGCUGCGGAGACAUGCUGAUUAUUUCAGGUUCCACUGUUGAGGUCAAACAGUCUCUCACGAGGGAGACGAACAGAAGCUGAUGGAAACCGACCACAUUGCUCUGUACCCGACAAAGCAAACCGUAGAGUGGCACAACAACCACAACAACCCCCCCUGCUGAGCGUGUGAGGGGACUCGGCCUUCCUGGAAGCUCAGCCGUGAGCUGCUGCCUGCGGUCCCCCCCCCCCACUCAAGUGUUGCUGGCAGCUCUUCAUCCGACGCCGUCUUCUCCGUCCUGCCCUUCAAUGAGGCAGCAGCAUCUCCCCCCCGAGGAAACCGCUGCCUCACUGAUGAUGACGACGAUUCAAUGAUAAUGAUCAUGAAGCAGCACACCUGGGCUUCGGGGGGGGGGGGGGGGCCCCGGGUUUUGUUAAUAUUUCUCUACUUGGGAAGGGUGAAAAUGUCUCUUUUGUGACGAUGACAUGUCUGC
This is a long non-coding RNA of Gasterosteus aculeatus aculeatus (three-spined stickleback), 2031 nucleotides long. The record is from Ensembl. NCBI's taxonomy places the organism in Eukaryota, Metazoa, Chordata, Actinopteri, Perciformes, Gasterosteidae.